GCGGGGAGGCUGGGGGCGGGGCUGCAGCCGCCGCCGCUGUCCCCGCCCGGUGCCUCCUGCGGGCCGCCGCCCCGGCUCGCGGCGCGCCCUCCCGAGCCUCGGAGUCCUCUCUACCUGGCGCUGUGCGAGGCUACAUGAGCAAUCUCAUGGAUACCUAGUGACAGCUGGGACACAUGCGUUCCAGAGCUGGAAAGUGUGCAGCCUCUGAGGCGUCUUCUCCUUCCAUCUCCAGCAGAAAUUCUUUCCCCCAGAUCCAUACAACUUAUUAGAUGAAGCACUCUCCAUCACCUGACUCAGCUUCACAGUGUCCUGCUCCCAAGGUUCCAGGUGCUCAACUAUCCGUUGAUGGAAUGAAUGAACAAACAAAUGAAUGAAUAGCGUAUGCCUCCUUCUUUUCUGGGAACAAGCCCUAUUUACAGGAGAGGCUCCAAGGCUGACCUGCUGCUUGGCCAAAGCUGAUUGAUCGAGGGGUGGACACGGAACCCAAUCCAGGCCAAUCAUGUCUUUUUUCUGGGAAUUUAAAAUUUGGAACCAGGAAAAAAGAGACUGGGCACUGCUGA
This 560-nucleotide long non-coding RNA is filed under the name Equus asinus (donkey). Its description in RNAcentral is "lncRNA (ENSEASG00005038763.1)". Lineage: Eukaryota; Metazoa; Chordata; Mammalia; Perissodactyla; Equidae. The record is from RNAcentral.